RNAcentral lists this small nucleolar RNA (137 nucleotides) under Ornithorhynchus anatinus (platypus). The record is from RNAcentral. Lineage: Eukaryota; Metazoa; Chordata; Mammalia; Monotremata; Ornithorhynchidae.
CCCCUCUCGGGGUCACAUCCAGAGAGUUUCCAGUACUCUACCGUCUCGACUAUAGGAGGGAGAGUCAAGCAGAGGCAUAUCCAUUCCAUUCCUAGCUUGGGCAGUGGCUAGUGAGUGGAAGGCAGUCUGCUACAAGU